RNAcentral lists this ribosomal RNA (219 nucleotides) under Amblyosyllis sp. 2 DLB-2019. RNAcentral describes it as "partial 16S ribosomal RNA". It matches the Rfam family "Bacterial large subunit ribosomal RNA", at positions 2274 to 2597 of the family's 2925-position model. Lineage: Eukaryota; Metazoa; Annelida; Polychaeta; Phyllodocida; Syllidae. The record is from RNAcentral.
UUGGGGCGACAAAGGAACAAAUAAAACUUCCUUCAAAAAAAGACUAAUCAGUCUCCCACCCUACCCCUCAAGGGAUUCAAUAAAGCUACCUUAGGGAUAACAGGCUAAUUCACCCUAAGAGCUCUAAUCGACGGGGGAGCUUGGCACCUCGAUGUUGGCUUAAGGUUCCUCUAUUACGCAGAAGUAAUAUCAGGUGGUUUGUUCAACCAUUAAACCCUU